UGGGUACUGUAGCCUGAGUAGU
RNAcentral lists this microRNA (22 nucleotides) under Callithrix jacchus (white-tufted-ear marmoset). RNAcentral's name for it is "cja-miR-9974". The record is from miRBase by way of RNAcentral. Lineage: Eukaryota; Metazoa; Chordata; Mammalia; Primates; Cebidae.